Molecule: ribosomal RNA, 468 nt
Filed under: uncultured bacterium
Lineage: Bacteria
Description: partial 16S ribosomal RNA
Rfam family: Bacterial small subunit ribosomal RNA
Source: RNAcentral
GACGAACGCUGGCGGCGUGCUUAACACAUGCGAGUCGAACGGUGAAGCUCCAGCUUGCUGGAGUGGAUCAGUGGCGAACGGGUGAGUAACACGUGAGCAACCUGCCCCUGACUCUGGAAUAAGCGCUGGAAACGGCGUCUAAUACUGGAUACGAGAAGGGUCCGCAUGGGCACUUUCUGGAAAGUUUUUCGGUUGGGGAUGGGCUCGCGGCCUAUCAGCUUGUUGGUGAGGUAAUGGCUCACCAAGGCGACGACGGGUAGCCGGCCUGAGAGGGCGACCGGCCACCCUGGGACUGGGGCACGGCCCAGACUCCUACGGGAGGCAGCAGUUGGGAAUAUUGCCCAAUGGGCGAAAGCCUGAUGCAGCGACGCCGCGUGAGGGAUGACGGCCUUCGGGUUGUAAACCUCUUUCAGCAGGGAAGAAGCGAAAGUGACGGUACCUGCAGAAGAAGCACCGGCUAACUACGUG